AUUUAUAUAGUUUAAGUAAAACAAUACAUUUUCAUUGUAUAAAUAAUAUACCAAUAUUUAUAAAUA
This 66-nucleotide transfer RNA is filed under the name Gampsocleis gratiosa gratiosa. Its description in RNAcentral is "tRNA-Glu". It matches the Rfam family "tRNA". Rfam says of the family: Transfer RNA (tRNA) molecules are approximately 80 nucleotides in length. Their secondary structure includes four short double-helical elements and three loops (D, anti-codon, and T loops). Lineage: Eukaryota; Metazoa; Arthropoda; Insecta; Orthoptera; Tettigoniidae. The record is from RNAcentral.